CGACCUACGGGACGCAGCAGUGAGGAAUAUUGGUCCCUUGUCUGGAGCCUGAACCAGCCAAGUCGCGUGAGGGAAGACGGUCCUAUGGAUUGUAAACCUCUUUAGGCGGGGAGCAAUGCCGGGCACGCGUGUCCGGAGGGAGAGUACCCGCAGAAUAAGCAUCGGCUAACUCCGUGCCAGCAGCCGCGGUAAUACGGAGGAUGCGAGCGUUAUCCGGAUUUAUUGGGUUUAAAGGGUGCGUAGGCGGAUUUUUAAGUCAGCGGUAAAAUGUCCGGGCUCAACCCGGGCCGGCCGUUGAAACUGGG
RNAcentral lists this ribosomal RNA (305 nucleotides) under uncultured bacterium. RNAcentral's name for it is "bacterial SSU rRNA". It matches the Rfam family "Bacterial small subunit ribosomal RNA", at positions 335 to 637 of the family's 1533-position model. The record is from RNAcentral.